This 1234-nucleotide ribosomal RNA is filed under the name metagenome. RNAcentral's name for it is "bacterial LSU rRNA". It matches the Rfam family "Bacterial large subunit ribosomal RNA", at positions 1564 to 2808 of the family's 2925-position model. The record is from RNAcentral.
UGAAUACGAGACGCUAAGGCGUCGAAGUAGUGUAUGUCAUACUUCCAAGAAAAGCUUGCACUGUCAUAAAUAGAAGAUGCCUGUACCAUAACCGACACAGGUGGGUAGGUAGAGUAUACUAAGGGGCGCGAGAUAACUCUCUCUAAGGAACUCGGCAAAAUAACUCCGUAACUUCGGGAGAAGGAGUGCCUUAUUCUUAAGGUUGCAAUAACAAGAUCCAAGCAACUGUUUAUCAAAAACACAGGUCUCCGCUAAGUCGCAAGACGAUGUAUGGGGGCUGACGCCUGCCCAGUGCCAGAAGGUUAAAGAAGUUGGUUAGCUUUUGCGAAGCUGAUAACUGAAGCCCUGGUGAACGGCGGCCGUAACAAUAACGGUCCUAAGGUAGCGAAAUUCCUUGUCGGGUAAGUUCCGACCCGCACGAAAGGCGUAAUGAUUUGGAUACUGUCUCGGAGAGGGGCUCGGUGAAAUAGACUUGUCUGUGAAGAUGCGGACUACCUGCACCAGGACAGAAAGACCCUAUGAAGCUUUACUGUAACUUGAAAUUGAAAUUGGACUUUAUUCGCGCAGUAUAGGUGGGAGGCGUUGAUUGUAAUCUUGCGGGAUUAUUGGAGCCAUCAGUGAGAUACCACUCUUGUAAUGUUAGAUUUCUAACUUUGUAUCAUUAUCUGGUCAAAGAACAGUUUCAGGCGGGCAGUUUGACUGGGGCGGUCCCUCCUAAACGGUAACGGAGGCGUACAAAGGUUUCCUCUGAACGGUUAGAAAUCGUAUCUAGAGUGUAAAGGCAUAAGGAAGCUUGACUGUGAGACCUACAAGUCGAGCAGGGACGAAAGUCGGUCUUAGUGAUCUGACGGUACUGAGUGGAAAGGCCGUCACUCAACGGAUAAAAGUUACUCUAAGGAUAACAGGCUGAUCUCCCCCAAGAGUUCACAUCGACGGGGAGGUUUGGCACCUCGAUGUCGGCUCAUCGCAUCCUGGGGCGGUAGUACGUCCCAAGGGUUGGGCUGUUCGCCCAUGAAAGCGGUACGCGAGCUGGGUUCAGAACGUCGUGAGACAGUUCGGUCCAUAUCCGGUGUAGGCGUUAGAAUAUUGAGAGGAGCCUUCUUUAGUACGAGAGGACCGAGAAGGACAUACCUCUGGUGUACCAGUUAUCGUGCCAACGGUAAACGCUGGGUAGCUAUGUAUGGAGUGGAUAACCGCUGAAAGCAUCUAAGUGGGAAGCCCACCUCAAGAUAAG